This 190-nucleotide long non-coding RNA is filed under the name Dermacentor andersoni. RNAcentral describes it as "uncharacterized LOC126536986". Lineage: Eukaryota; Metazoa; Arthropoda; Arachnida; Ixodida; Ixodidae. The record is from RNAcentral.
GCGACAAAGUAGGUUUGGUUCGCACCUGCAAGAAGUUAAAGAGUGUUGUCCACUUUCAUUUUCCUUUACUUUAUCACUUCUAGACAUCAAAAUAAGAAGAUAAAAACAAAAUUCAAGUAAAUUAACUUAUUCUUUCCUUGGUUUCACUGUCUGUUGGCUUCACACGAUUGUCCCUCCAACUUGAAGAUUU